This 253-nucleotide ribosomal RNA is filed under the name uncultured bacterium. Its description in RNAcentral is "partial 16S ribosomal RNA". It matches the Rfam family "Bacterial small subunit ribosomal RNA", at positions 524 to 776 of the family's 1533-position model. The record is from RNAcentral.
UACGUAGGGUGCGAGCGUUGUCCGGAAUUAUUGGGCGUAAAGAGCUCGUAGGCGGUUUGUUGCGUCGGCUGUGAAAUCCCGAGGCUCAACCUCGGGUCUGCAGUCGAUACGAGCAAACUAGAGUGUUGCAGGGGAGACUGGAAUUCCUGGUGUAGCGGUGAAAUGCGCAGAUAUCAGGAGGAACACCGGUGGCGAAGGCGCCACUCUGGGCCGAAACUGACGCUGAGGAGCGAAAGCGUGGGUAGCAAACAGG